ACGCUCGACACCUACGGAGGCAGCAGUGGGGAAUAUUGCACAAUGGGGGAAACCCUGAUGCAGCGACGCCGCGUGAGUGAAGAAGUAUUUCGGUAUGUAAAGCUCUAUCAGCAGGGAAGAAAAUGACGGUACCUGAGUAAGAAGCCCCGGCUAACUACGUGCCGGCAGCCGCGGUAAUCUGAGCGGGCUGGCAAGGC
RNAcentral lists this ribosomal RNA (197 nucleotides) under uncultured bacterium. Its description in RNAcentral is "partial 16S ribosomal RNA". It matches the Rfam family "Bacterial small subunit ribosomal RNA", at positions 328 to 539 of the family's 1533-position model. The record is from RNAcentral.